Molecule: long non-coding RNA, 303 nt
Organism: Scomber scombrus (Atlantic mackerel)
Lineage: Eukaryota; Metazoa; Chordata; Actinopteri; Scombriformes; Scombridae
Exons: 5
Source: RefSeq, a predicted model, not a curated record
UGGAUCGCUUUGGAGUCAAGCAGCAGUCUCUCUUCCACGUCCUGUCUGCGUAUUCAGUCUACAACACAGAAGUGAGCUACUGCCAGGGCAUGAGUCAGAUCGCCGCCCUGCUGCUCAUGUACAUGAACGAGGAGGACGCCUUCUGGGCUCUGUCACAGCUGCUGACCAAUCAGAAACACGCCAUGCACGGAUUUUUUGUUCCCGGGUUUCCCAAACUUCAGCGAUUCCAGGCACAUCACGAUCAGAUUAUUUCUAAACUCAUCCCCAAGCUGAAGAAGCAUCUGGAUAGAGAGCAGAUGUCUG